This 246-nucleotide ribosomal RNA is filed under the name uncultured bacterium. RNAcentral describes it as "partial 16S ribosomal RNA". It matches the Rfam family "Bacterial small subunit ribosomal RNA", at positions 87 to 334 of the family's 1533-position model. The record is from RNAcentral.
UUGACUGAGCGGCGCACGGGUGAGUAACGCGUAUGCAACCUGCCCGAUACCGGGGUAUAGCCCAUGGAAACGUGGAUUAACACCCCAUAGUACUUUUAUCCUGCCUAGGAUGGGAGUUAAAUGUUCAAGGUAUCGGAUGGGCAUGCGUCCUAUUAGUUAGUUGGCGGGGUAACAGCCCACCAAGACGAUGAUAGGUAGGGGUUCUGAGAGGAAGGUCCCCCACAUUGGAACUGAGACACGGUCCAA